GAUGAACGCUGGCGGCGUGCCUAAUACAUGCCAGUCGAGCGAACAGAUAAGGAGCUUGCUCCUUUGACGUUAGCGGCGGACGGGUGAGUAACACGUGGGUAACCUACCUAUAAGACUGGGAUAACUUCGGGAAACCGGAGCUAAUACCGGAUAACAUUUGGAACCGCAUGGUUCUAAAGUGAAAGAUGGUUUUGCUAUCACUUAUAGAUGGACCCGCGCCGCAUUAGCUAGUUGGUAAGGUAACGGCUUACCAAGGCAACGAUGCGUAGCCGACCUGAGAGGGUGAUCGGCCACACUGGAACUGAGACACGGUCCAGGCUCGGACGGGAGGCAGCAGUAGGGAAUCUUCGGCAAUGGGCGAAAGCGUGACGGAGCAACGCCGCGUGAGUGAUGAGGGGUUUCGGCUCGUAAAACUCUGUUAUUAGGGAAGAACAGACGUGUAAGUAACUGUGCACGUCUUGACGGUACCUAAUCAGAAAGCCACGGCUAACUACGUG
Molecule: ribosomal RNA, 497 nt
Filed under: uncultured bacterium
Lineage: Bacteria
Description: partial 16S ribosomal RNA
Rfam family: Bacterial small subunit ribosomal RNA
Source: RNAcentral